CCUACGGGUGGCAGCAGUGAGGAAUAUUGGUCAAUGGGCGGGAGCCGGAACCAGCCAAGUCGCGUGAGGGAUGACGGCCCUAUGGGUUGUAAACUUCUUUUGUCGGGGAGUAAAGUGCCGUAUGUGUGCUGUUUGGCGUGUACCCGAAGAAAAAGCAUCGGCUAACUCCGUGCCAGCAGCCGCGGUAAUACGGAGGAUGCGAGCGUUAUCCGGAUUUAUUGGGUUUAAAGGGUGCGUAGGCGGACGGUCAAGUCAGCGGUAAAAAUGCGGUGCUCAACGACGUACAGCCGUUGAAACUGGCAGUCUUGAGUGGGCGAGAAGUAUGCGGAAUGCGUGGUGUAGCGGUGAAAUGCAUAGAUAUCACGCAGAACUCCGAUUGCGAAGGCAGCAUACCGGCGCCCGACUGACGCUGAGGCACGAAAGCGUGGGUAUCGAACAGGAUUAGAUACCCCUGUAGUC
RNAcentral lists this ribosomal RNA (459 nucleotides) under uncultured bacterium. RNAcentral's name for it is "partial 16S ribosomal RNA". It matches the Rfam family "Bacterial small subunit ribosomal RNA", at positions 338 to 795 of the family's 1533-position model. The record is from RNAcentral.